AGUGAACGCUGGCGGUAGGCCUAACACAUGCAAGUCGAACGGCAGCACAGUAAGAGCUUGCUCUUACGGGUGGCGAGUGGCGGACGGGUGAGGAAUACAUCGGAAUCUACUUUUUCGUGGGGGAUAACGUAGGGAAACUUACGCUAAUACCGCAUACGACCUACGGGUGAAAGCAGGGGAUCUUCGGACCUUGCGCGAUUGAAUGAGCCGAUGUCGGAUUAGCUAGUUGGCGGGGUAAAGGCCCACCAAGGCGACGAUCCGUAGCUGGUCUGAGAGGGUGACCGGCCACAUUGGGACUGAGAUACGGCCCAGACUCCUACGGGAGGCAGCAGUGGGGAAUAUUGCACAAUGGGCGGAAGCCUGAUGCAGCAACGCCGCGUGCGGGAUGACGGCCUUCGGGUUGUAAACCGCUUUCGCCUGUGACGAAGCGUGAGUGACGGUAAUGGGUAAAGAAGCACCGGCUAACUACGUG
This 472-nucleotide ribosomal RNA is filed under the name uncultured bacterium. RNAcentral describes it as "partial 16S ribosomal RNA". It matches the Rfam family "Bacterial small subunit ribosomal RNA", at positions 29 to 507 of the family's 1533-position model. The record is from RNAcentral.